UGGUUGAUUCUGCCAGUAGUCAUAUGCUUGUUUCACGGACUAAGCCAUGCAUGCCUCAGAAUGACUGCAUUGCAGGAAUCUGCGCAUGGCUCAUUACAUCAGACGUAAUCUGCCGCAAAUCUUUUGCGGUUUCCGCAAGACUGGAUACCUUGGCGAAAAGCCAAGCUAAUACAUGAAUCUAGCUGGCGUUCUCCGUUCAAUGCGGGCCUAGCCCGUAGUGAGGAUGCCGUGCGAAUGAAUGAAAUUAAAACCAAUGCCGCGGACGCGGCAGCAACACCAAGAAGUGUUGAUUCAAUUCAUUCUGGCGAAAGCUGAAUUUUCAGCGUCUUUUGACGAACAACUGCCCUAUCAGCCAGUGAUGGCCGUGAAGUGGACUGCCAUGGCGUUGACGGGAGCGGGGGAUUAGGGUUCGAUUCCGGAGAGGGAGCCUGAGAAACGGCUACCUCUUCUACGGAGGGCAGCAGGCGCGCAAAUUGCCCAAUGCCAAAAACUUGGUGAGGCAGCGAAAAGAAAUAGGCCUCCUUAGCACCACACGGUGCUUGGGAGAUUCCAAUGGGGGAUAUCCAAACCCAUCGAUCGAGUACCAAUUGGAGGACAAGUCUGGUGCCAGCACCCGCGGUAAUUCCAGCUCCAAGAGCGUAUAUUAACGCUGUUGCUGUUAAAGGGUUCGUAGUUGAACUGAGGGUGCGCAGGUAGUCGAUCCAGUCCCCACCUUGUCAAGGGUGCGGUGACUCUCGCUCCUGGCACUCGUGAACGACAGAAACAAAGACCACGGGAUUCCCUUCCCGCAACAUCAUCACGCGUGCGAUGCACGCCGUGUGCGGGAGCGCCCGUGAUUUUUACUGUGACUAAAAAAGCGCGACCAAAGCAGUCAGUCGACAUGAAUUUCAAAGCAUGGGAUAACAACGCAGCGACCUACGGGCUACCGUUUCGGCUUUUGUUGGUUUUAAAGGUCUGUGGGAGACUAUGGGCACGCACGACAAGCGGUCGGGGGCACCCUCGCGGUGUCUUCUACGCCUCGGGUGGCUCUGUUCACCGGCUUGCGGGUCCAGGAAUGAAGGAGGGUUGUUCGGGGGAGAACGUACUUGAGCGUGAGAGGUGAAAUUCUUAGACCGCUCAAAGACGAACUACAGCGAAGGCAUUCUCCAAGGAUACCUUCCUCAAUCAAGAACCAAAGUGUGGAGAUCGAAGAUGAUUAGAGACCAUUGUAGUCCACACCACAAACGGUGACCCCCAUGAAUUGGGGAGUAUUUGGCUGGUUGUGGCCUGGGCUUGCCCAGCGUCCACACCACCAAAAUGAUCAAUUUACGUGCACAUUCCAGACGUCAAGUCAACCGGGAAUAUCCUCAGCACGUUCUCUGACUGUCUCACGCGAAAGCUCGAGGUUACAGUCUCAGGGGGGAGUACGUUCGCAAGAGUGAAACUUAAAGAAAUUGACGGAAUGGCACCACAAGACGUGGAGCGUGCGGUUUAAUUUGAC
Molecule: ribosomal RNA, 1480 nt
Filed under: metagenome
Description: SSU rRNA
Rfam family: Eukaryotic small subunit ribosomal RNA
Source: RNAcentral